Molecule: ribosomal RNA, 438 nt
Filed under: uncultured bacterium
Lineage: Bacteria
Description: bacterial SSU rRNA
Rfam family: Bacterial small subunit ribosomal RNA
Source: RNAcentral
AACGCGAAGAACCUUACCCAGACUUGACAUGCAGUGGACGGCGCUAGAAAUAGCGAUUCCCUUCGGGCCGCUGCACAGGUGCUGCAUGGCUGUCGUCAGCUCGUGCCGUGAGGUGUUGGGUUAAGUCCCGCAACGAGCGCAACCCUUAUCAUUAGUUGCCAACAUUUAAGGUGGGAACUCUAAUGAGACUGCCUGGGUUAACCAGGAGGAAGGUGAGGAUGAUGUCAAGUCCGCAUGGCCCUUAUGUCUGGGGCUACACACGUGCUACAAUGGUCGGUACAGAAGGCAGCGAAACCGCGAGGUGGAGCAAAUCCCAAAAGCCGAAUCUCAGUUCAGAUUGUAGUCUGCAACUCGACUACAUGAAGCGGAAUUGCUAGUAAUGGCGUAUCAGCUACAACGCCGUGAAUACGUUCCCGGGCCUUGUACACACCGCGCAUA